AAAAAAUAAAAAAUAAAAAAAUAGGCACAUGAGAGAGGAAGAUGAACUGAAAAUGAUCACUUUUUUGACAUAAAUUAUCAGCAGAAGCCAGCAAGUUCUCAAUUUGAAGGAGACUAGACAUUAUUUAUGUUGUUAAGAUAAGAAUUUACUCAAACUUGCUACUCUCAAACCUGUUACAGAAACAAAAUAAAAACUUUGACCCAGAAGCCAAAAAAAAAAAAAAA
This 224-nucleotide unclassified non-coding RNA is filed under the name Hevea brasiliensis (rubber tree). The record is from RNAcentral. Lineage: Eukaryota; Viridiplantae; Streptophyta; Magnoliopsida; Malpighiales; Euphorbiaceae.